This 1711-nucleotide long non-coding RNA is filed under the name Sparus aurata (gilthead seabream). RNAcentral describes it as "lncRNA (ENSSAUG00010016578.1)". The record is from RNAcentral. Lineage: Eukaryota; Metazoa; Chordata; Actinopteri; Spariformes; Sparidae.
AUGUCCUUUCCACUGUCCAGACUCGAUCUGGUUGAUGAGGCUUGUGUAGGACAAUUUGUCCUUUUGACCAGCUUCCCCAAUCUGUCCAAUUAUCCGGAACUCCCGCCUCAGCGUCACCUCGGGCAAUCUGGUUGGUGCUGUGGUGGCAGUCCCCCAACAGGUGCGUUACACUUUAGAUGCUCACACAGGGAAAUGAGCUCCUUCUCCUCCAGUGUCAGUCCCUUUCUUCCUACAUGGUCCUCCUCUGCUCUGUCCGUCUAUGCUUCUAUGCAACUGGGCUGUGGGCUGAAUCAACCAUCCUCUGCUACCAAAAUAUGUAGCGUGGUGCAGAGUGAAGCUGUCCUCCACUACACAUUUAAUUUGAAAGUCUUUUAUUUUGUUCUGCAAAGGGUAAAAAUAUGUAUUUUAUCGUCACAGUUCGCCACACACACACACAGUAACUUCACACUCAAGUGUGUGUUCUCAUUCUCUGAACUUAUUUGAUAUUCUAACACAGAAAAAUCAUGAACAUCUGCACCAACAUCCAAACAAUAAAUCAUGUCUGUUGUAUCGCUAUUCCAGACCAGUUUCAUCAUGUACAUUCAGUAUCAACUUGUUUAUCAAAUACACAGUCAGCCAAUCAUGUCUAAACAUUGUCAAAUUAAUCAAAUCAAUCAUGUAUCUAUUUUAACCUAUUCAUUUAUUUAUGAACUAGACACUAGCAGUCCGCGCUCUUUAGACCGGCUCAUAGUUCUACUCUCCCGCCUUACGCUCGCUCGAGGUAGCUAGGCAACCAGUGCUAACUACUAGCUAGCCUUUUUCAGUACUGACCAAGUAACGUUCAUAAACAAUUCCACAUAAAACCCAACCGAGAUCAUAAACUACGACAUAACAUAUUCACCCAUCCAUUACACAAUUCUAACUCUCCCUUCUUACCUGCAGAGAGCAAAAAUAUGUAUUUUAUCGUCACAGUUCGCCACACACACACACACACACACACAGUAACUUCACACUCAAGUGUUUGUUCUCAUUCUCUGAACGUAUUCACGCGAGACUUCCCUUGUUCCUGAACACACACAGUGUAGCGAACGCGCCCUCUGCUGGUCGGAGUUAGACACUGCAUACUGCUCGAUAACUACAUUUUUACAAUAAACCAACCUUUUCUCACCAUAAAACACACAGACAAUUUUCACCACACUCUGAACAUGAGCUGUGCGAAAUGGAAAUCAUGUUAAAUGUAAAAAAUAAUAAUGUACCACUGAUGGCUCUGUAUGCCACAUUAGCAUACAAGCUAACAAUCUAGAUUUAGCCACAAGCCACAUAGCUCGACCGCAACAUCGUUAAGGCGAUAUGCAGCAUUGCGAGUAUUGCUGUAACCACCGACACCAUAGCCUUAUGGUCAAAACAUAGAGUGAAAUAUAUCAAGCAGGGGUCCUUAUUUGUCCAGCAGAAAAGCGGCAAACUCUGCAUCACUCUUGAGUCUUUACAAAUCCCCCAGCUCCCUCCACCUCUGAAAUGACUCCACCUAGUUUUCUUUCUGGCUUGGUCCAAUUCUUUCUUUUUACAUUGCUUCUCUUUUACGUGGGCAUUGGUGGGGCAUUUUUCGGCUUUGUUGUUGUUGUUGUCUGUUCUCAGCCAUUGUUUACAGUUUGGGCUUGAGCUUGAACAUAUCUGACCAGGUAAGAGCAGACACAGCGCCUGCAACAGGGAGGGGCACUGCCAAAUAUGCACU